This is a non-coding RNA of Lolium perenne, 2384 nucleotides long. The record is from RefSeq and is a predicted model, not a curated record. Lineage: Eukaryota; Viridiplantae; Streptophyta; Magnoliopsida; Poales; Poaceae.
CUAUAUAUCUGAGUCCGAUCGCUAUCAAAUCGUCGGACCUCUUUCACACCGUCCAUCUCGUCUCAAUCGAACGGCUUGGUUUUGCUUUUUUUUUUCCGUCCCAAACGUCACCCCAAAUCACUCGCCCAAAAUACCGCCCCCAACCGUCGUCCGCCGCCCUCGCUACCUUCCCAUCGUCAUCCCUAUGCUCUCCAUUCUGCCCCAGCGUCCAUGCUCUCCACCCCUCUCCUCAUCGCCGUGCCACAUCCUACACUCGAGCCGAUGCUUCCGCCUCCAACUGCUUGGAAUCGGACGCCUGAACGCACCCAUGAAGCUCCGCCGUCGGGGCAUCACCGGCCGGCGACCGGCGCAGAUGCGACACAACCAGGCCGGAAAGGAUCCAAUCAGCCAAAGCUGUGGGUUCUAGUCUGCUUCUACCACACACGUUUGCGGUCUUGAUUUCUUCAAUGACUUCACGAUUUAGGGACAAGGUCAAAUUGGUACAUACAUCAGAGGAAGAUGUAUCCACAUGCUGGAAGCAAGCAUAUCCAAUUUUAAUUUGAAAUUUACAUGUUUCCACCACAGAUGAGUUAUGCUGAGGUAGCACUACUUAUGUGCUUCAAAACGUCUAUGCCUCCAAUACAUAAUGGUUAUAUUGUGAAAGAACUAAUUCCUUGCGUAGAAAUAUUCAUGCUUCCAAUUUCAAUUGCUUCACAUACAUAUGAUCUAUAUUGAUGUAGCACUAAUCUCUUGAUUCGAAAUAUCUCUGUGUAUACUAUAUGUUUUUCUUCGGUCUAGAUGGUUUGUGGCAUAUAACCAUGCUUCUUGCUUCUUGAUUUUUUUUAGUUUCCGUGCCAUUGUAGUUUAAAUAUUGCGCUCGUGGUACUUGUUAUGUUUGAGGCUUUGAAGCUUCUAUGUGGUACUAGUUAUGUUGAGAUAGCAUAAAAUUGAUUCUUCCAAAGUAUGUACGUUUUUUGAGUUUGUAUAAUAGAACCAUGCUCUACCUUUUGCAUUUGUUGUUAUAUAAUUGAUGCUUCCAAAGCAUGUAUGUUUUUCAAGUUUUCCAUAAUAGAACCAUGCUCUACCUUUUGCAUUUGUUUUCAAAUGGAAAUAGCUUUGUGGAAGCAAGUUUUGAUACUACUGGAAGCAAAUUAUAUCAUCGAUGAGAAGCUUUUAUUUUGAACAUGCUUCCCAACCAUUAUAGAUUGCUGAUCAAGCUAUACUCCCUCUGUACUAUGGUUGUACAUAAAUUUUUUUGUGCCAUUUCUUUUGGGGCAAGCGUGCCUUUUUGUGUUUCGAAACUUCUAUGCUUCCAAUAAGUAUCAUAUACGGUGACACUAACAAAGUCUUUUUUUUCUGAAAAAUCAUGGUUCAAAUUAGUAUCAUACAUGUUGUGAUACUACAUGGUUUUGCUUCUGAAAAUCCAUGCUUCCUAAGUUUCUUUUGUGAGAGGAACAUAGUUUUGAUUCCGAGAAUCCAUGCUUCACACGUCUAUUAUAUACAGGAGAUAAUUGUAGGUCGUCAACGAGCCCCCACUAUUCUUCGUUAACACCAUCAUCGUUGUUCUCGGAGGUUGCUAUGAUCUCGUCAACGCUCCUUCUCGAAAUUGGUGAUCUGCACACCAGUGCCAUGUUUAAACAUGUGUUGUCCUAGCGGGCGUGCUUCUAUUGUCUUAGGGGCAUGUAGCGCUACUUACUGUUGCCCCAUUAUUGUACAUGGAAGCAAAUUCUGAUACCUCUACAUGCUUCCAUUCCUUUGAUAUUGUUUAUAUGCUGCAGCUUUGCUAACAUUCAGAUCGACAUGCUGGUCCUCAUCGUCGUUAAUGGAAAGGUUGGUGAGGCACGUCAAGGAGCACGUUUUCCUUUGCACUGAUCCAUCUUGGCAGCGGCGGCAUCAAGGCGACCGGCUGCUUCCACAAAUUUCAUAGCUUUGCUCCAUCCAUGUAGUUUCAAUCCCUUCACCAUUUUGCUGACGUAGGAAGAAAGGCCACCAACUGAAAUUCUGAAUGAACCACGACCACCAAGGAAGCAUGGUCCUCCUCUGAAGAAGCAUGGUCUGCCUCUGAAGAAGCAUGCUAUACCUUUGAAGAAGCACCGUCUGCCUGAAGAAGCACAACUACAAUAUCAAGGAAGCACACAGCUAACGUUGGAAAGUAGCAUGACCACAGUAUCAUAGGGUUGCAAGCAAAGACAUCGGCUCAUCGGCGGCGUUGUCAUAAGUUGUACGAGAUUAGGAAGAAACUAUCAAUUUGUUUGGAGCACAAGCAUGGAAUCGAUAUUUUUUAUCCACGGGAGCAUGAUUCCUUGUCAAUGGAAGCAAGAAAAAUUGUACAUGAAAGCUCAGUUGUAUUUCUUGGAAGCACAUUCCUACUUCUUUUGAAUUAUGUAUAAUCAUGAUAGUAGUUA